AGGAUGCUCAGUUCAAGCUGAAUUUCAGAUUGAAAAACAAGUAAUUGUUUAGUAUAAGUAUGUCCCAGGCAACAGUUGGGAUAUACUUAUACUAAAAAAUUAUUUAUUGUUAUUCUGAAAUUCAGAUUUAACUGUGAGUCCU
Molecule: microRNA precursor, 142 nt
Filed under: Tursiops truncatus (common bottlenose dolphin)
Lineage: Eukaryota; Metazoa; Chordata; Mammalia; Artiodactyla; Delphinidae
Description: miRNA (ENSTTRG00000024352.1)
Rfam family: mir-1302 microRNA precursor family (bases 46-97)
Source: RNAcentral